This 192-nucleotide unclassified non-coding RNA is filed under the name uncultured fungus. Its description in RNAcentral is "sequence contains ITS1". The record is from RNAcentral. Lineage: Eukaryota; Fungi.
GUGAAAACUCUCUGGGGAAAGGUCUUCCUUUCCUCGGAACCUCUCACAUCCACACACACUUGUGCAACGUUCCGGAGGCGUUCCCCUCUCCGACCAUCACGGUCGGGAAGGGAUGCAUGCCCUCGGCUUAUAUCUUCAACUCUUGUCUAACGAAUGUAAUUGCAUACGCCUUAACGGGCAAAAUGAAAAAUA